GCGAACGCUGGCGGCAGGCCUAACACCUGCAGGUCGAACGAACCUUUCGGGGUUAGUGGCGGACGGGUGAGUAACACGUGGGAACGUGCCUUUAGGUUCGGAAUAACUCAGGGAAACUUGUGCUAAUACCGAAUGUGCCCUUCGGGGGAAAGAUUUAUCGCCUUUAGAGCGGCCCGCGUCUGAUUAGCUAGUUGGUUGAGGUAAUGGCUCACCAAGGCGACGAUCAGUAGCUGGUCUGAGAGGAUGAUCAGCCACAUUGGGACUGAGACACGGCCCAAACUCCUACGGGAGGCAGCAGUGGGGAAUCUUGCGCAAUGGGCGAAAGCCUGACGCAGCCAUGCCGCGUGAAUGAUGAAGGUCUUAGGAUUGUAAAAUUCUUUCACCGGGGACGAUAAUGACGGUACCCGGAGAAGAAGCCCCGGCUAACUUCGUG
RNAcentral lists this ribosomal RNA (433 nucleotides) under uncultured bacterium. Its description in RNAcentral is "partial 16S ribosomal RNA". It matches the Rfam family "Bacterial small subunit ribosomal RNA", at positions 29 to 507 of the family's 1533-position model. The record is from RNAcentral.